GACGAACGCUGGCGGCGUGCUUAACACAUGCAAGUCGAACGGUGAAGCGCCUUCCUUUUUGGUGGGUGUGGAUGAGUGGCGAACGGGUGAGUAACACGUGAGUAACCUGCCCCCUUCUUCUGGAUAACCGCAUGAAAGUGUGGCUAAUACGGGAUAUUCUGGGUCUGUCGCAUGAUGGGUCUGGGAAAGAUAUUGUUUCGGUGGGGGAUGGGCUCGCGGCCUAUCAGCUUGUUGGUGGGGUGAUGGCCUACCAAGGCGGUGACGGGUAGCCGGCCUGAGAGGGUGGACGGUCACACUGGGACUGAGACACGGCCCAGACUCCUACGGGAGGCAGCAGUGGGGAAUAGUGCACAAUGGGCGCAAGCCUGAUGCAGCGACGCCGCGUGAGGGAUGGAGGCCUUCGGAUUGUGAACCUCUUUCGCCAGUGAAGCAGGCCUGCCUCGUUUGUGGGUGGGUUGACGGUAGCUGGAGAAGAAGCGCCGGCUAACUACGUG
This 494-nucleotide ribosomal RNA is filed under the name uncultured bacterium. Its description in RNAcentral is "partial 16S ribosomal RNA". It matches the Rfam family "Bacterial small subunit ribosomal RNA", at positions 28 to 507 of the family's 1533-position model. The record is from RNAcentral.